Non-coding RNA from Caenorhabditis elegans, 96 nucleotides. NCBI's taxonomy places the organism in Eukaryota, Metazoa, Nematoda, Chromadorea, Rhabditida, Rhabditidae. The record is from Ensembl.
AAAAAAACUAAGCCCAAUGCGGGGCUCGAACCCGCGACAACCAGAUUAAGAGUCUGGUGCUCUACCGACUGAGCUAACCGGGCGGCGAAUGAGAAG